This 73-nucleotide transfer RNA is filed under the name Stegodyphus mimosarum. It matches the Rfam family "tRNA". From Rfam's summary of the family: Transfer RNA (tRNA) molecules are approximately 80 nucleotides in length. Their secondary structure includes four short double-helical elements and three loops (D, anti-codon, and T loops). The record is from Rfam by way of RNAcentral. Lineage: Eukaryota; Metazoa; Arthropoda; Arachnida; Araneae; Eresidae.
GCCUUCAUGGUGUAGUGGUCAGCACACUUGGUGCAUACUCAAGAGGUCAAUGGUUCGAGUCCCGUUGAGGGCA